UACGGAGGGUGCAAACGUUGCUCGGAAUUACUGGGCGUAAAGCGCUCGUAGGCGGUUUGUCAAGUCAGAUGUGAAAUCCCCGGGCUCAACCUGGGAAGUGCAUUUGAAACUGGCAGGCUAGAGGUUGGGAGGGGGUAGCGGAAUUCCCGGUGUAGAGGUGAAAUUCGUAGAUAUCGGGAGGAACACCAGAGGCGAAGGCGGCUACCUGGACCAAUACUGACGCUGAGGAGCGAAAGCGUGGGGAG
This 245-nucleotide ribosomal RNA is filed under the name uncultured delta proteobacterium. RNAcentral's name for it is "partial 16S ribosomal RNA". It matches the Rfam family "Bacterial small subunit ribosomal RNA", at positions 524 to 768 of the family's 1533-position model. Lineage: Bacteria; Deltaproteobacteria. The record is from RNAcentral.